GGAGGUAGUGACAAUAAAUCACAAUGCGGGACUAUACGUCUUGCAAUUGGAUUGAGAACAAUGUACAACUCUUAUCGAUAAGCCAUUGGAGGGCAAGUCUGGUGCCAGCAGCCGCGGUAAUUCCAGCUCCAAUAGCGUAUAUUAACGUUGUUGCAGUUAAAAAGCUCGUAGUUGAAGUGUGGGUGAUCGCUGUUGUGAGACUUCGGUCUCUCGACAGUAAGUCACCCCCUUCCAGUAUCCAGUAGUGGGUAUUCACUUACUUACUAUUGUGUGUUGGUCCUUUACUGUGAGAAAAUUAGAGUGUUCAAAGCAGGCGUUUGCUUGAAUAGAUUAGCAUGGAAUAAUAAUUGAAGGCUUUCGUGUUCGAUUUGAUUGGUUUGUUCAUGGAAGCAAGGUUAAAAGGAACAGUUGGGGGUAUUCAUAUUCACUAGUUAGAGGUGAAAUUCUCGGAUUUAUGGAAGAUGAACAAGUGCGAAAGCA
RNAcentral lists this ribosomal RNA (480 nucleotides) under Blastocystis hominis. Its description in RNAcentral is "SSU rRNA". It matches the Rfam family "Eukaryotic small subunit ribosomal RNA", at positions 460 to 953 of the family's 1831-position model. RNAcentral also lists the same sequence under 1 other name. The record is from RNAcentral. Lineage: Eukaryota; Bigyra; Opalinata; Blastocystidae.